Faecalibacterium prausnitzii is the source of this 74-nucleotide transfer RNA. It matches the Rfam family "tRNA". Rfam says of the family: Transfer RNA (tRNA) molecules are approximately 80 nucleotides in length. Their secondary structure includes four short double-helical elements and three loops (D, anti-codon, and T loops). The record is from Rfam. Lineage: Bacteria; Bacillati; Bacillota; Clostridia; Eubacteriales; Oscillospiraceae.
GGGCUCGUAGCUCAGUUGGGAUGAGCGUUCGGUUCGCAUCCGAAAGGUCGAGGGUUCGACUCCCUUCGAGUCCA